This 253-nucleotide ribosomal RNA is filed under the name uncultured bacterium. RNAcentral describes it as "partial 16S ribosomal RNA". It matches the Rfam family "Bacterial small subunit ribosomal RNA", at positions 524 to 776 of the family's 1533-position model. The record is from RNAcentral.
UACGUAGGUGACCAGCGUUGUCCGGAUUUACUGGGCGUAAAGCGCGUGUAGGUGGCGAUGUAAGUCGGGUGUGAAAUCCCUCGGCUCAACCGAGGAAGUGCACUCGAUACUGUGUCGCUUGAGUGUUGGAGGGGAUGGCGGAAUUCCCGGUGUAGAGGUGAAAUUCGUAGAUAUCGGGAGGAACACCUGUGGCGAAGGCGGCCAUCUGGACAACUACUGACACUGAGACGCGAAAGCGUGGGUAGCAAACAGG